AACGAACGCUUGCGGCAGGCCUAACACAUGCAAGUUGAACGAUAGGCUGGCUUUUGUCAGCUGAAAGUAGCGAACGGGUGCGUAACACGUGGGAACAUACCUCUAGGAGGGGGACAGCUACGGGAAACUGUAGUUAAUACCGCAUGACCUCUACGGAGCAAAGAUUUUUUCGCCUAGAGAUUGGCCCGCGCUCGAUUAGAUAGUUGGUGGGGUAAUAGCCUACCAAGUCUGCGAUCGAUAGCUGGUUUGAGAGAAUGAUCGGCCACACUGGGACUGAGAUACGGCCCAGACUCCUACGGGGAGCAGCAGUGAGGAAUAUUGCACAAUGGGCGCAAGCCUGAUGCAGCCAUGCCGCGUGUGUGAAGAAGGCCUUCGGGUUGUAAAGCACUUUCAGUCAGGAGGAAGGUUAGUAGUUAAUACCUGCUAGCUGUGACGUUACUGACAGAAGAAGCACCGGCUAACUCCGUGCCAGCCGCC
This 477-nucleotide ribosomal RNA is filed under the name uncultured bacterium. Its description in RNAcentral is "bacterial SSU rRNA". It matches the Rfam family "Bacterial small subunit ribosomal RNA", at positions 29 to 516 of the family's 1533-position model. The record is from RNAcentral.